AUUGACCUCGGAUCAGGUAGGGAUACCCGCUGAACUUAAGCAUAUCAAUAAGCGGAGGAAAAGAAACCAACAGGGAUUGCCUCAGUAACGGCGAGUGAAGCGGCAACAGCUCAAAUUUGAAAUCUGGCCCCGUCGGGGUCCGAGUUGUAAUUUGUAGAGAGUGUUUCGGGUGAGACCACGGUCUAAGUCUAUUGGAACAUGGCGUCAUAGAGGGUGAGAAUCCCGUAUGUGACCGUGGCUCGAGCCCAUGUGAAGCCUCUUCGACGAGUCGAGUUGUUUGGGAAUGCAGCUCAAAAUGGGUGGUAAAUUUCAUCUAAAGCUAAAUACUGGCUGGAGACCGAUAGCGCACAAGUAGAGUGAUCGAAAGAUGAAAAGCACUUUGGAAAGAGAGUCAAAAAGUACGUGAAAUUGUUGAAAGGGAAGCGCUUGCAACCAGACCUGUCCGUAGGUGAUCAACCGCUGUUCUCAGUGGUGCACUCGCUCUGCGAUCAGGCCAGCAUCGGUUCCGGCGGUCGGAUAAAGGCCUUGGGAAUGUACCUGCCUUCGGGGAGUCUUAUAGCCCUCGGUGCAAUGCGGCCAGCCGGGACCGAGGACCGCGCUUCGGCUAGGAUGCUGGCGUAAUGGCUGUAAGCGACCCGUCUUGAAACACGGAACAAGGAGUCUAACAUCUAUGCGAGUGUUUGGGUGUUAAACCCAUGCGCGGAAUGAAAGUGAACGGAGGUGAGAACCCUUUAGGGCGCAUCAUCGACCGAUCCAGAUGUCUUCGGAUGGAUUUGAGUAUGAGCAUAGCUGUUGGGACCCGAAAGAUGGUGAACUAUGCCUGAAUAGGGUGAAGCCAGAGGAAACUCUGGUGGAGGCUCGCAGCGGUUCUGACGUGCAAAUCGAUCGUCAAAUUUGGGUAUAGG
RNAcentral lists this ribosomal RNA (905 nucleotides) under Usnea subfloridana. Its description in RNAcentral is "eukaryotic LSU rRNA". It matches the Rfam family "Eukaryotic large subunit ribosomal RNA", at positions 1 to 921 of the family's 3401-position model. Lineage: Eukaryota; Fungi; Ascomycota; Lecanoromycetes; Lecanorales; Parmeliaceae. The record is from RNAcentral.